GACGAACGCUGGCGGCGUGCUUAACACAUGCAAGUCGAGCGGUAAGGCCCUUUCGGGGGUACACGAGCGGCGAACGGGUGAGUAACACGUGAGCAAUCUGCCCUCUACUUUGGGAUAACUACCGGAAACGGUGGCUAAUACCGGAUAUGACUGCCGGCCGCAUGGUCUGGUGGUGGAAAGUUCUGGCGGUGGAGGAUGAGCUCGCGGCCUAUCAGCUUGUUGGUGGGGUAAUGGCUCACCAAGGCUUCGACGGGUAGCCGGCCUGAGAGGGUGACCGGCCACACUGGGACUGAGACACGGCCCAGACUCCUACGGGAGGCAGCAGUGGGGAAUAUUGGACAAUGGGCGAAAGCCUGAUCCAGCAACGCCGCGUGAGGGAUGACGGCCUUCGGGUUGUAAACCUCUUUCGGUGGGGACGAAGCGAACCUUUGGGUGAGUGACGGUACCUACUAAAGAAGCACCGGCCAACUACGUGCCAGCCGCCGCCGU
This 489-nucleotide ribosomal RNA is filed under the name uncultured bacterium. Its description in RNAcentral is "bacterial SSU rRNA". It matches the Rfam family "Bacterial small subunit ribosomal RNA", at positions 28 to 521 of the family's 1533-position model. The record is from RNAcentral.